GGGGCUGAUUCUGGAUUCGACGGGAUUUGCGAAACCCAAGGUGCAUGCCGAGGGGCGGUUGGCCUCGUAAAAAGCCGCAAAAAAAUAGUCGCAAACGACGAAAACUACGCUUUAGCAGCUUAAUAACCUGCUUAGAGCCCUCUCUCCCUAGCCUCCGCUCUUAGGACGGGGAUCAAGAGAGGUCAAACCCAAAAGAGAUCGCGCGGAUGCCCUGCCUGGGGUUGAAGCGUUAAAACGAAUCAGGCUAGUCUGGUAGUGGCGUGUCCGUCCGCAGGUGCCAGGCGAAUGUAAAGACAGACUAAGCAUGUAGUACCGAGGAUGUAGGAAUUUCGACGCGGGUUCAACUCCCGCCAGCUCCACCA
Molecule: transfer-messenger RNA, 362 nt
Filed under: Salmonella enterica
Lineage: Bacteria; Pseudomonadati; Pseudomonadota; Gammaproteobacteria; Enterobacterales; Enterobacteriaceae
Description: Standard tmRNA
Rfam family: transfer-messenger RNA
About the family: Bacterial tmRNA, also known as 10Sa RNA or SsrA, is named for its dual tRNA and mRNA-like properties.
Source: RNAcentral